Molecule: ribosomal RNA, 511 nt
Filed under: uncultured bacterium
Lineage: Bacteria
Description: bacterial SSU rRNA
Rfam family: Bacterial small subunit ribosomal RNA
Source: RNAcentral
AUCAACGCUGGCGGCGUGCCUAACACAUGCAAGUCGAACGCGACUGGGGCUUCGGCCUCAGUUGAGUGGCGAACGGGUGAGUAACACGUGGGUGACCUACCUUCGAAUGGGGGAUAACGUCCCGAAAGGGACGCUAAUACCGCAUAACAUCCUGCCUUUGAACAGGCGGAGAUCAAAGCCGGGGAUCGCAAGACCUGGCGUUUGAAGAGGGGCCUGCGUCCGAUUAGCUAGUUGGUGAGGAACGGCUCACCAAGGCGACGAUCGGUAGCCGGCCUGAGAGGGCGGACGGCCACACUGGGACUGAGACGCGGCCCAGACUCCUACGGGAGGCAGCAGUGGGGAAUUGUUCGCAAUGGGCGCAAGCCUGACGACGCAACGCCGCGUGGAGGAUGAAGGUCUUCGGAUUGUAAACUCCUGUUGCCCGGGACGAAUAGCUCCGACCUAACACGUCGGAGUCUGACGGUACCGGGUGAGGAAGCCCCGGCUAACUCUGUGCCAGCCGCCGCAGUAA